UACGGAGGAUGCAAGCGUUAUCCGGAAUUAUUGGGCGUAAAGAGUCCGUAGGUGGCGAUUCAAGUCUGCUGUUAAAGACCAGAGCUUAACUCGGGAAAAGCGGUGGAAACUGAAAAGCUAGAGUUCGGGAGGGGUAGAGGGAAUUCCCAGUGUAGCGGUGAAAUGCGUAGAGAUUGGGAAGAACACCAGUGGCGAAGGCGCUCUACUGGACCGAAACUGACACUGAGGGAGGAAAGCUAGGGGAGCGAAAGGG
This 253-nucleotide ribosomal RNA is filed under the name uncultured bacterium. Its description in RNAcentral is "partial 16S ribosomal RNA". It matches the Rfam family "Bacterial small subunit ribosomal RNA", at positions 524 to 776 of the family's 1533-position model. The record is from RNAcentral.